CCUACGGGUGGCUGCAGUCGAGAAUCUUCGGCAAUGGGCGCAAGCCUGACCGAGCGAUGCUGCGUGCUGGAUGAAGGUCUUCGGAUUGUAAACAGCUGUUGGGGGGGAUGAAGUGCAUGGGAGCUAUCUCCUGUGUUUGACAGAGCCCCAGAGAAAGCGCGGGCUAAGUUCGUGCCAGCAGCCGCGGUAAUACGAACUGCGCGAACGUUAUUCGGAUUCACUGGGCUUAAAGGGUGCGUAGGCGGCUUGUUAAGUGGGAUGUGAAAUUUUGCGGCUCAACCGUAAGACUGCAUCUCAUACUGGCAAGCUGGAGUGAGUCAGGGGUGUGUGGAACUGCCAGUGGAGCGGUGAAAUGUGUUGAUAUUGGCAGGAACGCCGGUGGCGAAAGCGACACACUGGGGCUUAACUGACGCUGAGGCACGAAAGCCAGGGGAGCAAACGGGAUUAGAUACCCCUGUAGUC
Molecule: ribosomal RNA, 462 nt
Filed under: uncultured bacterium
Lineage: Bacteria
Description: bacterial SSU rRNA
Rfam family: Bacterial small subunit ribosomal RNA
Source: RNAcentral